Molecule: long non-coding RNA, 777 nt
Organism: Apodemus sylvaticus (European woodmouse)
Lineage: Eukaryota; Metazoa; Chordata; Mammalia; Rodentia; Muridae
Exons: 3
Source: RefSeq, a predicted model, not a curated record
CUCGAGAACAUGAGAACUGAACAUUCUGCAGUAGAAACCAGCCUACAGACUCAAAACAAAUUAUAGAUGUUGAUUUUCAAAAUGAAGUCCUGUUCAGAAGUGAGAACAAGUAUGUUGGCACUCCUGGGAAACCAGCUCUCUCCAGCGGUAUUUGAGUAUGCAGUGCUGUGAUACAAGAUCAGCUCACUGUGAUACAAGUGCAGAACGAAACCAGAAGAAUCUUCUUGAGAUCAGUGCCUAGCCCAGUCAUCAUCAGAGAGACUUCCUCAAGCAUCUGGGAAGAUGGGAGCAGAUGUAGAGACCCACAACCAAACACUGGGUGCAGAGAGAGCCAAAAUUGGAGAUCUUCAUCUGGUUCAACCCCUUAGAGCUUGAAGAACCCCAGAGAAGAGGCAAAAGAAGAAUUGUAGGAACCAGAGGGGUUAAGAAGACCAGGAGAACACAGCCCACAGAAUCAACUAAGCAGGACUCAUAGAGACUGAAGCACCAGUCAAGGAGCCUGCGUGGGUGUGUGUGGGGGGGUCCGGUCUAUAUAUGCUAUAGUUGUUAGCUUGGUGUUUUUGUGGUACUCAUAACAGUGGGAGUGGGAAGUCUCUGAUUCUCUCACCUACCCUUUGGACCCUUUUUCUCCUACUUGGUUGCCUCACCCAGUCCUGAUAUAAGGGUUUGUGUAUAGACUUAUUGUAACUUGUUAUGGUGUGGUUGGUUGAUGUCCAUGAUAGGCUUGAUCUUUUCUGAAGAGAAACUGAGGAAGAAUGGAUAUGAGGGAAGGGAAGA